GUCCACGCCGUAAACGAUGUCUACUAGCCGUUGGGCUCCUUAGAGAGUUUAGUGGCGCAGCUAACGCACUAAGUAGACCGCCUGGGGAGUACGGCCGCAAGGUUAAAACUCAAAUGAAUUGACGGGGGCCCGCACAAGCGGUGGAGCAUGUGGUUUAAUUCGAAGCAACGCGAAGAACCUUACCUACUCUUGACAUCCAGAGAACUUGUGAGAGAUCACUUGGUGCCUUCGGGAACUCUGAGA
Molecule: ribosomal RNA, 243 nt
Filed under: uncultured bacterium
Lineage: Bacteria
Description: partial 16S ribosomal RNA
Rfam family: Bacterial small subunit ribosomal RNA
Source: RNAcentral